GAUGAACGCUGGCGGCGUGCCUAAUACAUGCAAGUCGAGCGAACAGACGAGGAGCUUGCUCUUCUGACGUUAGCGGCGGACGGGUGAGUAACACGUGGAUAACCUACCUAUAAGACUGGGAUAACUUCGGGAAACCGGAGCUAAUACCGGACAAUAUAUUGAACCGCACGGUUCAAUAGUGAAAGACGGUUUUGCUGUCACUUAUCGAUGGAUCCGCGCCGCAUUAGCUAGUUGGUAAGGUAACGGCGUACCAAGGUAACGAUGCGUAGCCGACCUGAGAGGGUGAUCGGCCACACUGGAACUGAGACACGGUCCAGACUCCUACGGGAGGCAGCAGUAGGGAAUCUUCCGCAAUGGGCGGAAGCCUGACGGAACAACGCCGCGUGAGUGAUGAAGGUCUUCGGAUCGUAAAACUCUGUUAUUAGGGAAGAACAAAUGUGUAAGUAACUAUGCACGUCUUGACGGUACCUAAUCAGAAAGCCACGGCUAACUACGUG
Molecule: ribosomal RNA, 497 nt
Filed under: uncultured bacterium
Lineage: Bacteria
Description: partial 16S ribosomal RNA
Rfam family: Bacterial small subunit ribosomal RNA
Source: RNAcentral